AGUUUGAUCCCUGGUUCAGGACGAAACGCUGGACGUCGUGCCUUAAUACAUGCAAGUCGAAGCGGACCGAUGGGAGCUUGCUCCCUGAAGUUAGCGGCGGACGGGUGAGUAACACGUGGGUAACCUGCCUGUAAGACUGGGAUAACUCCGGGAAACCGGGGCUAAUACCGGAUGGUUGUUUGAACCGCAUGGUUCAAACAUAAAAGGUGGCUUCGGCUACCACUUACAGAUGGACCCGCGGCGCAUUAGCUAGUUGGUGAGGUAACGGCUCACCAAGGCGACGAUGCGUAGCCGACCUGAGAGGGUGAUCGGCCACACUGGGACUGAGACACGGCCCAGACUCCUACGGGAGGCAGCAGUAGGGAAUCUUCCGCAAUGGACGAAAGUCUGACGGAGCAACGCCGCGUGAGUGAUGAAGGUUUUCGGAUCGUAAAGCUCUGUUGUUAGGGAAGAACAAGUACCGUUCGAAUAGGGCGGUACCUUGACGGUACCUAACCAGAAAGCCACGGCUAACUACGUGCCAGCAGCCGCGGUAAUACGUAGGUGGCAAGCGUUGUCCGGAAUUAUUGGGCGUAAAGGGCUCGCAGGCGGUUUCUUAAGUCUGAUGUGAAAGCCCCCGGCUCAACCGGGGAGGGUCAUUGGAAACUGGGGAACUUGAGUGCAGAAGAGGAGAGUGGAAUUCCACGUGUAGCGGUGAAAUGCGUAGAGAUGUGGAGGAACACCAGUGGCGAAGGCGACUCUCUGGUCUGUAACUGACGCUGAGGAGCGAAAGCGUGGGGAGCGAACAGGAUUAGAUACCCUGUUAGUCCACGCCGUAAACGAUGAGUGGUAAGUGUUAGGGAGUUUCGCGCCCAAUUAGUGCGGCAGCCGAACGGCCAUUUAAGGCACGCCGCCAGGGACCCCAAAUAGAAAAUGGGUUUC
RNAcentral lists this ribosomal RNA (921 nucleotides) under Bacillus subtilis. RNAcentral describes it as "bacterial SSU rRNA". It matches the Rfam family "Bacterial small subunit ribosomal RNA", at positions 10 to 873 of the family's 1533-position model. Lineage: Bacteria; Bacillati; Bacillota; Bacilli; Caryophanales; Bacillaceae. The record is from RNAcentral.